RNAcentral lists this ribosomal RNA (166 nucleotides) under uncultured Pseudomonas sp. RNAcentral describes it as "partial 16S ribosomal RNA". It matches the Rfam family "Bacterial small subunit ribosomal RNA", at positions 355 to 508 of the family's 1533-position model. The record is from RNAcentral. Lineage: Bacteria; Pseudomonadati; Pseudomonadota; Gammaproteobacteria; Pseudomonadales; Pseudomonadaceae.
UGGGGAAUAUUGCGACAAUGGGCGAAAGCCUGAUCCAGCCAUGUUCCAGCGUAGUGAAGAAGGUCUUCGGAUUGUAAAGCUCUUUUGUUUGUUGAGGAAGGGCAGUAAGCUAAUACCUGGCUGUUUUGACGUUACCGACAGAAUAAGCACCGGCUAACUGCUGUGC